AAGUCGUAACAAGGUCUCCGUAGGUGAACCUGCGGAGGGAUCAUUAACACAAAGAAAAAAGCAACUCGAGCGAUCGGGGCGUUUUUUCUCUUUUUCUAUCACACCCAUCUAACGUGAACUAGUAUGCCCAUACUUUUCUUUGCAAUGCAAUGUUAAGCUUUUUGCCUGUCACAGGCAUUGCUAAUGUUGUUUUGCUAAAUUUUAUCAUUUCUGUAACACCUGCAAACCAUUUCCAAACAAAUUUUCAACAAUGUAAACUGUGAUGCAGUUCAACCAGCCUUGUGCUUGUGUUGUUUCUGUUUCUAGCAUUGACUAAUAUAUAGAGUACAACUCUUAGCAACGGAUAUCUUGGUUCUC
Molecule: unclassified non-coding RNA, 357 nt
Filed under: fungal sp.
Lineage: Eukaryota; Fungi
Description: partial internal transcribed spacer region
Rfam family: Eukaryotic small subunit ribosomal RNA (bases 1-46)
Source: RNAcentral